CACGUAGGGCGCGAGCGUUGUCCGGAAUUAUUGGGCGUAAAGAGCUCGUAGGCGGCCUGUUGCGUCCGCUGUGAAAGCCCCGGGGCUUAACCCCGGGUCGGCAGUGGAUACGGGCAGGCUAGAGGUAGGUAGGGGAGAAUGGAAUUCCCGGUGUAGCGGUGAAAUGCGCAGAUAUCGGGAGGAACACCGGUGGCGAAGGCGGUUCUCUGGGCCUUACCUGACGCUGAGGAGCGAAAGCGUGGGGAGCGAAACAGG
Molecule: ribosomal RNA, 255 nt
Filed under: uncultured bacterium
Lineage: Bacteria
Description: partial 16S ribosomal RNA
Rfam family: Bacterial small subunit ribosomal RNA
Source: RNAcentral